RNAcentral lists this unclassified non-coding RNA (145 nucleotides) under soil metagenome. Its description in RNAcentral is "partial internal transcribed spacer 1". The record is from RNAcentral.
UAAUAAGUGUUUUAUGGCACUUUUUAAAUCCAUAUCCACCUUGUGUGCAAUGUCAGUCGAUCUUCUCCAUGGAGAUUGGCCAAACAUCAACCUUUAUUUUUUAACUCUUUGUCUGAAAAAUAUUAUGAAUAAACAAUUCAAAAUA